RNAcentral lists this ribosomal RNA (425 nucleotides) under uncultured bacterium. RNAcentral describes it as "partial 16S ribosomal RNA". It matches the Rfam family "Bacterial small subunit ribosomal RNA", at positions 354 to 796 of the family's 1533-position model. The record is from RNAcentral.
GUUAGGAAUAUUGGACAAUGGGCGAAAGCCUGAUCCAGCCAUGCCGCGUGAACGAUGAAGGCCUUCUGGUUGUAAAGUUCUUUAGCCGAUGAUUAUAAUGACUGUAGUCGGAAAAUAAGCCCCGGCUAACUUCGUGCCAGCAGCCGCGGUAAUACGAAGGGGGCGAGCGUUAUUCGGAAUCACUGGGCGUAAAGCGUGCGUAGGCGGUUUUGUAAGUUAGGAGUGAAAGCCCAGGGCUCAACCUUGGAAUUGCUCUUAAAACUGCAAGGCUCGAAUCUCGGAGAGGAUAGCGGAAUUUCCAGUGUAGCAGUGAAAUGCGUAGAUAUUGGAAGGAACACCAGUGGCGUAAGCGGCUAUCUGGACGAGUAUUGACGCUGAGGCACGAAAGCGUGGGGAUCAAACAGGAUUAGAAACCCGAGUAGUCC